GACAGAGGGUGCAAACGUUGUUCGGAAUUACUGGGCGUAAAGCGUGUGUAGGCGGUUCGUUAAGUCGGAUGUGAAAGCCCUCGGCUCAACCGUGGAAGUGCACUCGAAACUGCAUAGCUAGAGUCCUGGAGAGGAAGGUGGAAUGCUUGGUGUAGAGGUGAAAUUCGUAGAUAUCAAGCGGAACACCGGUGGCGAAGGCGGCCUUCUGGACAGUGACUGACGCUGAGACGCGAAAGCGUGGGGAGCAAACAGG
RNAcentral lists this ribosomal RNA (253 nucleotides) under uncultured bacterium. RNAcentral's name for it is "partial 16S ribosomal RNA". It matches the Rfam family "Bacterial small subunit ribosomal RNA", at positions 524 to 776 of the family's 1533-position model. The record is from RNAcentral.